RNAcentral lists this ribosomal RNA (467 nucleotides) under uncultured bacterium. Its description in RNAcentral is "bacterial SSU rRNA". It matches the Rfam family "Bacterial small subunit ribosomal RNA", at positions 28 to 507 of the family's 1533-position model. The record is from RNAcentral.
GACGAACGCUGGCGGCGUGGAUUAGGCAUGCAAGUCGGACGGUAGGGCUUUAUCGUAAGAUAGAGUUUGAGAGUGGCGAACGGGUGAGUAACACGUAGGAAUCUACCCUUAAGACGGGGACAACCCAGGGAAACUUGGGCUAAUACCGGAUGAGAGUGCGAGAGAUUGCAUUUAAAAGGAUGGCGAAAGUUGUCGCUUAGGGAUGAGCCUGCGGUCUAUUAGUUAGUUGGUGAGGUAAGAGCUCACCAAGGCGAUGAUAGAUAGGCGGCCUUAACGGGUGGUCGCCCACACUGGGAUUGAGAUACGGCCCAGACUCCUACGGGAGGCAGCAGUAGGGAAUUUUCCACAAUGGACGAAAGUCUGAUGGAGCAACGCCGCGUGCAGGAUGAAUGCCUUCGGGUUGUAAACUGCUUUUAUCUGUGACGAAUAUGACGGUAGCAGAUGAAUAAGGAUCGGCUAACUCCGUG